Molecule: transfer RNA, 84 nt
Filed under: Sandaracinaceae bacterium
Lineage: Bacteria; Pseudomonadati; Myxococcota; Polyangiales; Sandaracinaceae
Description: tRNA-Leu
Rfam family: tRNA
About the family: Transfer RNA (tRNA) molecules are approximately 80 nucleotides in length.
Source: RNAcentral
GCGGAAGUGGCGGAACUGGCAGACGCACUGGAUUCAGGUUCCAGCGCCCGAAAGGGCAUGGAGGUUCGAGUCCUCUCUUCCGCA